UGGAAUCGAGGAUGUCAGAGCAUCCCUGAAGGGAGAGUGGAGGUUUUCUAAAAUGUUUUUAGCUGUUUUAAGCUUUUGUUUUAGCAAAGGAAUAAGUUUUGAAGAAACAAGGCUAAGGAAAGUUUUGCCACUUUCGGCCCCCUAAAGUGUAAGUUCGGCCGCCUAAAGUAGCUCAUGUUCGGCCCCCUAAACUCAAUGUUCGGCCCCCGAACGUGAUGAGGUGUUACAUGUAGCUUUGGCCACCGAACGUGAAGCGGUGGUUCACUUUUUUUAAGUGGAUAUGACCGACUAUGGAGGUGCUUAAGCUCUCCUUUGGGUCAGGAACAAGCACAUGUUUCCCCUUGGUGAUUUUCUUGAGUUUCUAAUCAAAUCUUUCAAAGA
Molecule: long non-coding RNA, 381 nt
Filed under: Manihot esculenta (cassava)
Lineage: Eukaryota; Viridiplantae; Streptophyta; Magnoliopsida; Malpighiales; Euphorbiaceae
Description: long non-coding RNA (MESC_LNC000656)
Source: RNAcentral